RNAcentral lists this unclassified non-coding RNA (220 nucleotides) under Aegopodium podagraria (goutweed). Its description in RNAcentral is "partial internal transcribed spacer 2". Lineage: Eukaryota; Viridiplantae; Streptophyta; Magnoliopsida; Apiales; Apiaceae. The record is from RNAcentral.
AUCGUGUUGCCACCGAUCACUCACUCCUAGAGGAGAUGUGCUGGUUUGGGGGCGGAAAUUGGCCUCCCGUGCCUUGUUGUGCGGCUGGCACAAAAGCGAGUCUCUGACAAUGGUCGUCGCGACAUCGGUGGUUGUAAAAAGACCUUAUCUUGUCGCGCGAAUCCCUGUCACCUUAGAGAGCUCUAGGAUCCUUAGGUGCCACCCAUUGUGUGCGCUUUGA